UGGGGAAUUUUCCGCAAUGGGCGAAAGCCUGACGGAGCAAUACCGCGUGAGGGACGAAGGCCUGUGGGUUGUAAACCUCUUUUCUCAGGGAAGAAGAUCUGACGGUACCUGAGGAAUCAGCAUCGGCUAACUCCGUGCCAGCAGCCGCGGUAAGACGGAGGAUGCAAGCGUUAUCCGGAAUUAUUGGGCGUAAAGCGUCCGCAGGCGGUUUCGUAAGUCUGUCUUUAAAGCGUGGAGCUUAACUCCAUAAAGGGGAUGGAAACUGCGAGACUAGAGGUAGGUAGGGGUAGAAGGAAUUCCCAGUGUAGCGGUGAAAUGCGUAGAUAUUGGGAAGAACACCAGCAGCGAAGGCGUUCUACUGGACCAAACCUGACGCUCAUGGACGAAAGCU
This 391-nucleotide ribosomal RNA is filed under the name Limnothrix sp. DPW3. Its description in RNAcentral is "bacterial SSU rRNA". It matches the Rfam family "Bacterial small subunit ribosomal RNA", at positions 355 to 761 of the family's 1533-position model. Lineage: Bacteria; Bacillati; Cyanobacteriota; Cyanophyceae; Pseudanabaenales; Pseudanabaenaceae. The record is from RNAcentral.